GAUAAAUAAAGUGUAUAUAACAAUGAAGGAGAAGAAGAAUUAAAUUCUGCAGAGUUUCUCUCUGCCCACAAACUGUGGAAAACUUGUUAUUCACUUUGCAACUGCAAAAUACUGUGAAUACAAUAUGUUGGGAAUACAAUAUGUUGUGAAUACAAUAUGUUGUGAAUACAAUAUGUUAUGAAUACAAUAUGUUGUGAAUACUCUAUUCACCUCUAUAUGAA
This 221-nucleotide long non-coding RNA is filed under the name Lathyrus oleraceus (garden pea). RNAcentral describes it as "Pisum sativum (pea) long non-coding RNA (PSAT_LNC022751)". The record is from RNAcentral. Lineage: Eukaryota; Viridiplantae; Streptophyta; Magnoliopsida; Fabales; Fabaceae.